Non-coding RNA from Zootermopsis nevadensis, 250 nucleotides. NCBI's taxonomy places the organism in Eukaryota, Metazoa, Arthropoda, Insecta, Blattodea, Termopsidae. The record is from RefSeq and is a predicted model, not a curated record.
GUAGAUCAAGGUGGUCCUAAAUUAGUACUAUUCGCAUUUUAUUCCCCGUGGGCCUUUUUUAAAGCAUGAGUUCACAUUCCCACCUUAGGUAGUGUUCCUGUGUGUAAAGGACAUAUUGUGAUGAAUUAAAUUUUUUCUUCCAGAGGCAGUCAUUCAAAAUCAGCUACUCAAAUGCCAUAGCAACCACAAAAGGCAGAGAAAGUGAGACAACAUAUCGAAUGUAUGUCUGAAGGAAGUGCUGGGUUGUUUG